RNAcentral lists this ribosomal RNA (497 nucleotides) under uncultured bacterium. RNAcentral's name for it is "partial 16S ribosomal RNA". It matches the Rfam family "Bacterial small subunit ribosomal RNA", at positions 28 to 507 of the family's 1533-position model. The record is from RNAcentral.
GAUGAACGCUGGCGGCGUGCCUAACACAUGCAAGUCGAACGGACAGACGAGGAGCUUGUUCCUCUGACGUUAGCGGCGGACGGGUGAGUAACACGUGGAUAAGCAACAUAUAUGACUGGGAUAACUUCGAGAAACCGGAGCUAAUACCAGAUAAAAUGAUCAACCGCAUGGUGCAACAGCGAAAGACGGUCUUGCUGUCACUGAUAGAUGGAUCCGCGCCGCAUUACCUAGUUGGUAAGGGAACGGCUUUCCACGGCAACGAUGCGUAGCCGACCUGAGAGAGUGAUCGGCCACACUGGAACUGAAACACGGUCCAGACUCCUACGGGAGGCAGCAGUAGGGACUCUUCCGAAAUGGGCGAAAGCCUGACGGAGCAACGCCGCGUGGGUGAAGAAGGCAUUCGGGUCGUAAGACUCUGUGAUUAGGGAAGAACAAAUGUGUAAGUAACUAUGCACGUCUUGACGGUACCUGAUCAGAAAGCAACGGCUAACUACGUG